RNAcentral lists this ribosomal RNA (661 nucleotides) under uncultured Staphylococcus sp. RNAcentral describes it as "bacterial SSU rRNA". It matches the Rfam family "Bacterial small subunit ribosomal RNA", at positions 76 to 722 of the family's 1533-position model. The record is from RNAcentral. Lineage: Bacteria; Bacillati; Bacillota; Bacilli; Caryophanales; Staphylococcaceae.
AAGCUUGCUUCUCUGAUGUUAGCGGCGGACGGGUGAGUAACACGUGGAUAACCUACCUAUAAGACUGGGAUAACUUCGGGAAACCGGAGCUAAUACCGGAUAAUAUUUUGAACCGCAUGGUUCAAAAGUGAAAGACGGUCUUGCUGUCACUUAUAGAUGGAUCCGCGCUGCAUUAGCUAGUUGGUAAGGUAACGGCUUACCAAGGCAACGAUGCAUAGCCGACCUGAGAGGGUGAUCGGCCACACUGGAACUGAGACACGGUCCAGACUCCUACGGGAGGCAGCAGUAGGGAAUCUUCCGCAAUGGGCGAAAGCCUGACGGAGCAACGCCGCGUGAGUGAUGAAGGUCUUCGGAUCGUAAAACUCUGUUAUUAGGGAAGAACAUAUGUGUAAGUAACUGUGCACAUCUUGACGGUACCUAAUCAGAAAGCCACGGCUAACUACGUGCCAGCAGCCGCGGUAAUACGUAGGUGGCAAGCGUUAUCCGGAAUUAUUGGGCGUAAAGCGCGCGUAGGCGGUUUUUUAAGUCUGAUGUGAAAGCCCACGGCUCAACCGUGGAGGGUCAUUGGAAACUGGAAAACUUGAGUGCAGAAGAGGAAAGUGGAAUUCCAUGUGUAGCGGUGAAAUGCGCAGAGAUAUGGAGGAACACCAGUGGCGAAGGC